UGGGGAAUUUUGCACAAUGGGGGAAACCCUGAUGCAGCGACGCCGCGUGAUUUAGAAGGCCUUCGGGUUGUAAAAAUCUUUUCUAUGGGAAGAAAAUGACAGUACCAUAGGAAUAAGGACCGGCUAAUUACGUGUCAGCAGCCGCGGUAAUACGUAAGGUCCGAGCGUUGUCCGGAAUCAUUGGGCGUAAAGGGUACGUAGGCGGGUAAGCAAGUUAGAAGUGAAAUCCUAUAGCUCAACUAUAGUAAGCUUUUAAAACUGCUCAUCUUGAGGUAUGGAAGGGAAAGUGGAAUUCCUAGUGUAGCGGUGAAAUGCGCAGAUAUUAGGAGGAAUACCGGUGGCGAAGGCGACUUUCUGGCCAUAACCUGACGCUGAGGUACGAAAGCGUGGGUAGCAAACAGG
RNAcentral lists this ribosomal RNA (402 nucleotides) under bacterium. Its description in RNAcentral is "partial 16S ribosomal RNA". It matches the Rfam family "Bacterial small subunit ribosomal RNA", at positions 355 to 776 of the family's 1533-position model. The record is from RNAcentral.